AGAGUUUGAUCCUGGCUCAGAACGAACGCUGGCGGCGUGCUUAACACAAGCAAGUCGAACGUGAUCCAGAGCUUGCUCUGGUGAAAGUGGCGCACGGGUGAGUAACGCGUGGAUAACCUGCCUGGUAUCUGGGAUAACAUCUCGAAAGGGGUGCUAAUACCGGAUAAGCCCACGGGACCCUCGGGUUCUGCGGGAAAAGGAGGCCUCUAUUUAUAAGCUUCCGUAUCAUGAUGGGUCCGCGUACCAUUAGCUAGUUGGUGGGGUAAUGGCCUACCAAGGCGACGAUGGUUAGCUGGUCUGAGAGGAUGAUCAGCCACACUGGAACUGAGACACGGUCCAGACUCCUACGGGAGGCAGCAGUGGGGAAUUUUGCGCAAUGGGGGAAACCCUGACGCAGCAACGCCGCGUGAGUGAUGAAGGCUUUCGGGUCGUAAAGCUCUGUCAGAGGGGAAGAAAUGGAAACGGUCAAUACCCGUUUUUCUUGACGGUACCCUCAAAGGAAGCACCGGCUAACUCCGUGCCAGCAGCCGCGGUAAUACGGGGGGUGCAAGCGUUGUUCGGAUUUAUUGGGCGUAAAGCGCGUGUAGGCGGUUUCUUAAGUCUGAUGUGAAAGCCCCGGGCUCAACCCGGGAAGUGCAUUGGAUACUGGGAGACUUGAAUACGGGAGAGGGUAGUGGAAUUCCUAGUGUAGGAGUGAAAUCCGUAGAUAUUAGGAGGAACACCGGUGGCGAAGGCGGCUACCUGGACCGAUAUUGACGCUGAGACGCGAAAGCGUGGGGAGCAAACAGGAUUAGAUACCCUG
This 802-nucleotide ribosomal RNA is filed under the name uncultured bacterium. Its description in RNAcentral is "bacterial SSU rRNA". It matches the Rfam family "Bacterial small subunit ribosomal RNA", at positions 8 to 789 of the family's 1533-position model. The record is from RNAcentral.